This is a long non-coding RNA of Mauremys mutica (yellowpond turtle), 429 nucleotides long. RefSeq lists it as uncharacterized. The transcript has 3 exons. The record is from RefSeq and is a predicted model, not a curated record. NCBI's taxonomy places the organism in Eukaryota, Metazoa, Chordata, Testudines, Geoemydidae.
AGCUCCCUGAGGCAGAAACUUCAGAGGGAAGUUGGGGGAAGGUUAUGAGGAAGUAAUGAGCCUUUGGAAAGUGAAGGAGGAUCCGAGCUGAAUCUGAGGAACAGCACCAGGGACUGGAGAUAAUUAGACUCAGAAAGGAGCCUGGGAAUGAGCUCAACUCCUGCAGGGACUGACCUUGCCCAUGAGUGGAGGUUCCGUAGGGGACUCAGGCAGAGGUGAAAGUAAGCCGGUACGGGCCGGUACGGAGGACCGGUCAGCACCUCAGCUAGUCCACCCAGCUAGGAAGCUGGGUGGAUAUCUUGGAAUAGAGAGUCCUCAGGGGAAUGCAGCUCUGUAACUCCAGGGGAAGAGUAGAGAAAGCUGUGUGGAGUUGGCCCGGCUCAAGCUGAAAUGGACCAAGGAAAAGGGAGAAGCAAUCACUGCAGAACA